AGAGAGAGACAUGCGCGCAUAUCAAUAAGCGGAGGAAAAGAAACUAACAAGGAUUCCCUUAGUAACGGCGAGUGAAGCGGGAAGAGCUCAAAUUUGAAAUCUUCAAGGUUCUACCUUGACGAAUUGUAGUUUAUAGAAGUGUUUUCUGUUAGUAGGAGUGGCAAAAGUUCUUUGGAAUAGGACAUCAUAGAGGGUGAGAAUCCCGUAUUUGGUCAUUCCUCCUAGCGUUGUGAUACACUUUCAACGAGUCGGAUUGUUUGGGAAUGCAGUCCAAAAUGGGUGGUAAAUUUCAUCUAAAGCUAAAUAUUGCGAGAGACCGAUAGCGAACAAGUACCGUGAGGGAAAGAUGAAAAGAACUUUGAAAAGAGAGUUAAACAGUACGUGAAAUUGUCAAAAGGGAAGCGUUUGACACCAGUGUUGUUUAGUUGAAAAUCAAUUCAAUAGUUUUUGAUUCUAAGUAGUAUCGACUUCAUCAGCUUGCUGCUUUCUUCUCAGAAAUUAUUGAAUGCACUUUUCAGUUAACAAGUCGACAUCAAUUUCUUUUGUUGUAAAAGGGUAAGAGGAAGGUGGCUUGCGCUUCGGCUCAAGUGUUUAUAGCCUUUUAUCUCUGCAAUCGGAGAGAUUGAGGUCUGCAGCGUAGAUCCUUCGGGGUUAGAUACAUUGGUGCUAAGCUAUAGCCUUGUAUAGACAACUUGUUGACUAUGCUCAGUCAUGUAGCUUACUCGCUGAUGCUAUUUUACCUACGCUUAGGAUGUUGAUAGUCACAGCGUGUAC
Molecule: ribosomal RNA, 774 nt
Filed under: uncultured Neocallimastigales
Lineage: Eukaryota; Fungi; Neocallimastigomycota; Neocallimastigomycetes; Neocallimastigales
Description: partial large subunit ribosomal RNA
Rfam family: Eukaryotic large subunit ribosomal RNA
Source: RNAcentral